GACGAACGCUGGCGGCGUGCUUAACACAUGCAAGUCGAACGGUAAGGCCCCUUCGGGGGUACACGAGUGGCGAACGGGUGAGUAACACGUGAGCAACCUGCCCUUGACCCUGGAAUAACAGCUGGAAACAGCUGCUAAUACCGGAUAUGACUCAUCUCGACAUCGAGCGUGAGUGGAAAGCUCCGGCGGUCAAGGAUGGGCUCGCGGCCUAUCAGCUAGUUGGUGAGGUAACGGCUCACCAAGGCUUCGACGGGUAGCCGGCCUGAGAGGGCGACCGGCCACACUGGGACUGAGAUACGGCCCAGACUCCUACGGGAGGCAGCAGUGGGGAAUAUUGCACAAUGGGCGAAAGCCUGAUGCAGCAACGCCGCGUGCGGGAUGACGGCCUUCGGGUUGUAAACCGCUCUCAGCUCCGACGAAGCGCAAGUGACGGUAGGAGCAGAAGAAGGACCGGCCAACUACGUGCCAGCAGCCGCGGUGAUACGUAGGGUCCGAGCGUUGUCCGGAAUUAUUGGGCGUAAAGGGCUUGUAGGCGGUUUGUCACGUCGGAAGUGAAAACUCAGGGCUUAACCCUGAGCCUGCUUCCGAUACGGGCAAACUAGAGGGAUGCAGGGGAGAACGGAAUUCCUGGUGGAGCGGUGGAAUGCGCAGAUAUCAGGGGGAACACCGGUGGCGAAGGCGGUUCUCUGGGCAUUUCCUGACGCUGAGAAGCGAAAGCGUGGGGAGCAAACAGGCUUAGAUACCCUGGUAGUCCACGCCGUAAACGGUGGGCACUAGGUGUGGGGGACAUUCCACGUUCUCCGUGCCGAAGCUAACGCAUUAAGUGCCCCGCCUGGGGAGUACGGCCGCAAGGCUAAAACUCAAAGGAAUUGACGGGGGCCCGCACAAGCGGCGGAGCAUGCGGAUUAAUUCGAUGCGACGCGAAGAACCUUACCUGGGUUUGACAUAUACCGGAAAGCUGCAGAGAUGUAGCCCCCGCAAGGUCGGUAUACAGGUGGUGCAUGGCUGUCGUCAGCUCGUGUCGUGAGAUGUUGGGUUAAGUCCCGCAACGAGCGCAACCCUCGUCCUAUGUUGCCAGCGGAUAAUGCCGGGGACUCAUAGGAGACUGCCGGGGUCAACUCGGAGGAAGGUGGGGAUGACGUCAAGUCUUCAUGCCCCUUAAGUCCAGGGCUUCACGCAUGCUACAAUGGCUGGUACAAAGGGCUGCAAAACCGCAAGGUCGAGCGAAUCCCAAAAAGCCAGUCUCAGUUCGGAUUGGGGUCUGCAACUCGACCCCAUGAAGUCGGAGUCGCUAGUAAUCGCAGAUCAGCAACGCUGCGGUGAAUACGUUCCCGGGCCU
This 1339-nucleotide ribosomal RNA is filed under the name uncultured bacterium. Its description in RNAcentral is "bacterial SSU rRNA". It matches the Rfam family "Bacterial small subunit ribosomal RNA", at positions 28 to 1381 of the family's 1533-position model. The record is from RNAcentral.